UGCGGAGAUGGCCCAGUCUGGUACGGCGCGGGACUGCUAAUCCCGUUACUCUCUGAGUAACCCGAGUUCAAAUCUCGGUCUCCGCGU
Molecule: transfer RNA, 87 nt
Filed under: Methanococcus maripaludis
Lineage: Archaea; Methanobacteriati; Methanobacteriota; Methanococci; Methanococcales; Methanococcaceae
Description: tRNA-Ser
Rfam family: tRNA
About the family: Transfer RNA (tRNA) molecules are approximately 80 nucleotides in length. Their secondary structure includes four short double-helical elements and three loops (D, anti-codon, and T loops).
Source: RNAcentral